RNAcentral lists this ribosomal RNA (253 nucleotides) under uncultured bacterium. RNAcentral's name for it is "partial 16S ribosomal RNA". It matches the Rfam family "Bacterial small subunit ribosomal RNA", at positions 524 to 776 of the family's 1533-position model. The record is from RNAcentral.
UACGGAGGGGGCUAGCGUUGUUCGGAAUUACUGGGCGUAAAGCGCACGUAGGCGGCUUUGUAAGUUAGAGGUGAAAGCCCGGGGCUCAACCCCGGAAUAGCCUUUAAGAUUGCAUCGCUUGAACACGGGAGAGGUGAGUGGAAUUCCGAGUGUAGAGGUGAAAUUCGUAGAUAUUCGGAAGAACACCAGUGGCGAAGGCGGCUCACUGGACCGUUGUUGACGCUGAGGUGCGAAAGCGUGGGGAGCAAACAGG